This 467-nucleotide ribosomal RNA is filed under the name uncultured bacterium. RNAcentral describes it as "partial 16S ribosomal RNA". It matches the Rfam family "Bacterial small subunit ribosomal RNA", at positions 28 to 507 of the family's 1533-position model. The record is from RNAcentral.
GACGAACGCUGGCGGCGUGCUUAACACAUGCAAGUCGAACGGAAAGGCCUCUUUCGGGGGGUACUCGAGUGGCGAACGGGUGAGUAACACGUGAGUAACCUGCCCUUGACUUUGGGAUAACUUCAGGAAACUGGGGCUAAUACCGGAUAGGAGCUCCUGCUGCAUGGUGGGGGUUGGAAAGUUUCGGCGGUUGGGGAUGGACUCGCGGCUUAUCAGCUUGUUGGUGGGGUAGUGGCUUACCAAGGCUUUGACGGGUAGCCGGCCUGAGAGGGUGACCGGCCACAUUGGGACUGAGAUACGGCCCAGACUCCUACGGGAGGCAGCAGUGGGGAAUAUUGCACAAUGGGUUGAAGCCUGAUGCAGCAACGCCGUGUGCGGGAUGACGGCCUUCGGGUUGUAAACCGCUUUCGCUCAUGACGAAGCUUUGUGUGACGGUAGUGGGUAAAGAAGCACCGGCUAACUACGUG